AACAUUCGCUUUGAUGAGAUGAUCAAAGGGUUUGGGUUUACACAGACUUAUGGAGAAGCCUGUGUUUACAAGAAAGUGAGUGGGAGCUCUGUAGCAUUUCUCAUAUUAUAUGUGGAUGACAUACUAUUGAUGGGAAAUGAUAUAGAAUUCUUGGAAAGUAUAAAGGCCUAUUUGAAUAAGUGUUUUUCAAUGAAGGACCUUGGAGAAGCUGCUUAUAUAUUAGGCAUCAAGAUCUAUAGAGAUAGAUCAAGACGCCUCAUAGGUCUUUCACAGAGUACAUACCUUGACAAGAUAUUGAAGAAGUUCAAUAUGGAUCAGUCCAAGAAGGGGUUCUUGCCUGUAUUGCAAGGUGUGCAAUUGAGCACGGCUCAA
Molecule: ribosomal RNA, 372 nt
Filed under: Triticum aestivum (bread wheat)
Lineage: Eukaryota; Viridiplantae; Streptophyta; Magnoliopsida; Poales; Poaceae
Description: partial small subunit ribosomal RNA
Source: RNAcentral